GAUGAAGAACGCAGCGAAAUGCGAUAAGUAGUGUGAAUUGCAGAAUUCCGUGAAUCAUCGAAUCUUUGAACGCACAUUGCGCCCGCCAGCAUUCUGGCGGGCAUGCCUGUUCGAGCGUCAUUUCAACCCUCGAGCCCCCCCGGGGGCCUCGGUGUUGGGGGACGGCACACCAGCCGCCCCCGAAAUGCAGUGGCGACCCCGCCGCAGCCUCCCCUGCGUAGUAGCACACACCUCGCACCGGAGCGCGGAGGCGGUCACGCCGUAAAACGCCCAACUUUCUUAGAGUUGACCUCGGAUCAGGUAGGAAUACCCGCUGAACUUAAGCAUAUCAUAAGCGGAGGA
Molecule: unclassified non-coding RNA, 342 nt
Filed under: soil metagenome
Description: partial contains 5.8S ribosomal RNA, internal transcribed spacer 2, and large subunit ribosomal RNA
Rfam family: 5.8S ribosomal RNA (bases 1-120)
Source: RNAcentral